Molecule: ribosomal RNA, 429 nt
Filed under: Verrucomicrobiota bacterium
Lineage: Bacteria; Pseudomonadati; Verrucomicrobiota
Description: Verrucomicrobia bacterium partial 16S ribosomal RNA
Rfam family: Bacterial small subunit ribosomal RNA
Source: RNAcentral
UAGGGAAUCUUCCGCAAUGGACGAAAGUCUGACGGAGCAACGCCGCGUGAGUGAAGAAGGAUUUCGGUUCGUAAAACUCUGUUGUUAGGGAAGAAAAAAUGUAUAGUAACUAUAUACAAAAGAGACGGUACCUAACCAGAAAGCCCCGGCUAAUUACGUGCCAGCAGCCGCGGUAAUACGUAAGGGGCGAGCGUUGUCCGGAAUUAUUGGGCGUAAAGAGUGCGUAGGCGGCAAAUUAAGUCAGAUGUGAAAACUAAGGGCUCAACCCAUAGAUUGCAUCUGAAACUGAUAUGCUUGAGUCAAGGAGAGGAAAGUGGAAUUCCUAGUGUAGCGGUGGAAUGCGUAGAUAUUAGGAGGAAUACCGGUGGCGAAGGCGACUUUCUGGACUUGAACUGACGCUGAGGCACGAAAGCGUGGGGAGCAAACAGG